Molecule: ribosomal RNA, 520 nt
Filed under: bacterium btn 7d-3
Lineage: Bacteria
Description: bacterial SSU rRNA
Rfam family: Bacterial small subunit ribosomal RNA
Source: RNAcentral
ACUCCUACGGGAGGCAGCAGUAAGGAAUAUUGGUCAAUGGGCGGAAGCCUGAACCAGCCAUGCCGCGUGCAGGAUGACUGCCCUAUGGGUUGUAAACUGCUUUUGUCCAGGAAUAAACCUUUCUACGUGUAGAGAGCUGAAUGUACUGGAAGAAUAAGGAUCGGCUAACUCCGUGCCAGCAGCCGCGGUAAUACGGAGGAUCCGAGCGUUAUCCGGAUUUAUUGGGUUUAAAGGGUGCGUAGGCGGCCAAUUAAGUCAGGGGUGAAAUACGGUGGCUCAACCAUCGCAGUGCCUUUGAUACUGAUCGGCUUGAAUCCAUUUGAAGUGGGCGGAAUAAGACAAGUAGCGGUGAAAUGCAUAGAUAUGUCUUAGAACUCCGAUUGCGAAGGCAGCUCACUAAGCUGGUAUUGACGCUGAUGCACGAAAGCGUGGGGAUCGAACAGGAUUAGAUACCCUGGUAGUCCACGCCCUAAACGAUGAUAACUCGAUGUUGGCGAUAGACAGCCAGCGUCCCAGCGAA